Molecule: long non-coding RNA, 437 nt
Filed under: Mus musculus (house mouse)
Lineage: Eukaryota; Metazoa; Chordata; Mammalia; Rodentia; Muridae
Description: predicted gene 29274
Source: RNAcentral
GGCCUUGCUCUUAUGUCAUCUGACUAAAGGUUUCACAGACCAAAGAUAACCAUCCAACUUGUUGGAAUACUGAAACAAUUACUGCCUGCUGUCCACACACCACAUAAAAUAUGUGGAUUAUCUAAAUUCUGCAGAAAAGGUUUGGAAGCUGAUCAAUCAAUACUGGAACUCCCUCUUCUCCAGAAGAGACAUCCUGGCCUCCAUGCAGAGGAAUGUGUGGAGGGACAUAUAUUUAAGGAAGACACUAAACCAGAAAAUACUACAUUACACCCUCUUCUAAGACUUCUAAGAUUGUUGUCAUGCCUACCACAGACAUUCAGAUGAUGUGUAUUCUUGAUUGUGAUUUCAUGUUUGGAGCUGAUGAAGGAGUUUGAAAUCUCCAGAGCAGCAAGGAGAGUGGGGAGUAGAACUCAUCAUCUUUAGGUCACUCAUAUUCG